Molecule: ribosomal RNA, 308 nt
Filed under: uncultured eukaryote
Lineage: Eukaryota
Description: SSU rRNA
Rfam family: Eukaryotic small subunit ribosomal RNA
Source: RNAcentral
AAUAAUUUAUUUGAUGGUUUCUUACUACAUGGAUAACUGUAGUAAUUCUAGAGCUAAUACAUGCGUAAAGUCCCGACUCUCGCGGGGAGGGAUGUAUUUAUUAGAUAAAAAACCAAUGCGGCCUCUGGCCGGUUUUGUGGUGAAUCAUAGUAACUUUUCGAAUCGCAUGGCUUCACGCCGGCGAUAGUUCAUUCAAAUUUCUGCCCUAUCAGCUUUCGACGGUAGUGUAGUGGACUACCGUGGCGUUAACGGGUAACGGAGAAUUAGGGUUCGAUUCCGGAGAGGGAGCCUGAGAAACGGCUACCACA